GCAGUCGAGGGGUAUAGUAGCAAUACUAGAGACCGGCGCACGGGUGCGUAACGCGUAUGCAAUCUACCUUUUACAGAGGGAUAGCCCAGAGAAAUUUGGAUUAAUACCUCAUAGCAUUAUGAAAUGGCAUCAUUUUAUAAUUAAAGUUACAACGGUAAAAGAUGAGCAUGCGUCCCAUUAGCUAGUUGGUGUGGUAACGGCAUACCAAGGCAACGAUGGGUAGGGGUCCUGAGAGGGAGAUCCCCCACACUGGUACUGAGACACGGACCAGACUCCUACGGGAGGCAGCAGUGAGGAAUAUUGGUCAAUGGGCGCAAGCCUGAACCAGCCAUGCCGCGUGCAGGAUGACGGUCCUAUGGAUUGUAAACUGCUUUUGUACAGGAAGAAACACUCGGACGUGUCCGAGCUUGACGGUACUGUAAGAAUAAGGAUCGGCUAACUCCGUGCCAGCAGCCGCGGUAAUACGGAGGAUCCAAGCGUUAUCCGGAAUCAUUGGGUUUAAAGGGUCCGUAGGCGGGUUUAUAAGUCAGUGGUGAAAGCCCAUCGCUCAACGAUGGAACGGCCAUUGAUACUGUAGAUCUUGAAUUAUUAGGAAGUAACUAGAAUAUGUAGUGUAGCGGUGAAAUGCUUAGAGAUUACAUGGAAUACCAAUUGCGAAGGCAGGUUACUACUAAUGGAUUGACGCUGAUGGACGAAAGCGUGGGUAGCGAACAGGAUUAGAUACCCUGGUAGUCCACGCCGUAAACGAUGGAUACUAGCUGUUCGGAGCAAUCUGAGUGGCUAAGCGAAAGUGAUAAGUAUCCCACCUGGAGAGUACGUUCGCAAGAAUGAAACUCAAAGGAAUUGACGGGGGCCCGCACAAGCGGUGGAGCAUGUG
This 877-nucleotide ribosomal RNA is filed under the name uncultured bacterium. RNAcentral's name for it is "bacterial SSU rRNA". It matches the Rfam family "Bacterial small subunit ribosomal RNA", at positions 57 to 943 of the family's 1533-position model. The record is from RNAcentral.